GUGGCUUGCUACAUGACCUAGCGGCGGACGGGUGAGUAAUACUUAGGAAUCUGCCUAUUAGUGGGGGACAACGUUCCGAAAGGAGCGCUAAUACCGCAUACGCCCUACGGGGGAAAGCAGGGGAUCUUCGGACCUUGCGCUAAUAGAUGAGCCUAAGUCGGAUUAGCUAGUUGGUAGGGUAAAGGCCUACCAAGGCGACGAUCUGUAGCGGGUUUGAGAGGAUGAUCCGCCACACUGGGACUGAGACACGGCCCAGACUCCUACGGGAGGCAGCAGUGGGGAAUAUUGGACAAUGGGCGCAAGCCUGAUCCAGCCAUGCCGCGUGUGUGAAGAAGGCCUUAUGGUUGUAAAGCACUUUAAGCGAGGAGGAGGCUUACCUGGUUAAUACCUAGGAUAAGUGGACGUUACUCGCAGAAUAAGCACCGGCUAACUCUGUGCCAGCAGCCGCGGUAAUACAGAGGGUGCAAGCGUUAAUCGGAAUUACUGGGCGUAAAGCGCGCGUAGGUGGCCAUUUAAGUCAAAUGUGAAAUCCCCGAGCUUAACUUGGGAAUUGCAUUCGAUACUGGAUGGCUAGAGUAUAGGAGAGGAAGGUAGAAUUCCAGGUGUAGCGGUGAAAUGCGUAGAGAUCUGGAGG
Molecule: ribosomal RNA, 634 nt
Filed under: uncultured Acinetobacter sp.
Lineage: Bacteria; Pseudomonadati; Pseudomonadota; Gammaproteobacteria; Moraxellales; Moraxellaceae
Description: bacterial SSU rRNA
Rfam family: Bacterial small subunit ribosomal RNA
Source: RNAcentral